This 209-nucleotide ribosomal RNA is filed under the name uncultured bacterium. Its description in RNAcentral is "partial 16S ribosomal RNA". It matches the Rfam family "Bacterial small subunit ribosomal RNA", at positions 1292 to 1500 of the family's 1533-position model. The record is from RNAcentral.
UUCGGAUUGUAGGCUGCAACUCGCCUACAUGAAGUCGGAAUUGCUAGUAAUCGCAGAUCAGCAUGCUGCGGUGAAUACGUUCCCGGGCCUUGUACACACCGCCCGUCACACCAUGGGAGUCGGUAACACCCGAAGUCGGUAGCCUAACCGUAAGGAGGGCGCCGCCGAAGGUGGGAUUGAUGACUGGGGUGAAGUCGUAACAAGGUAAC